RNAcentral lists this small RNA (371 nucleotides) under Pan troglodytes (chimpanzee). RNAcentral's name for it is "processed transcript". Lineage: Eukaryota; Metazoa; Chordata; Mammalia; Primates; Hominidae. The record is from RNAcentral.
GAGGGGAGAGCGACUAGGCCCUGUCUGCGGGUACCUUCGGCGAGGAGAGGCGACGAAGGUCUGCACCAACGAAGCUUCACAAAAGAUGUCUAAGGUGAAUCAGGUCUAGGAAAAUCGACUCUCAUAAACAGCCUAUUCCUAACUGAUCUGUACCCAGAAAGAGUCAUACCUGGAGCAGCAGAAAAAAUUGAAAGAACCGUCCAGAUUGAGGCUUCAACUGUUGAAAUUGAAGAGCGAGGGGUCAAGCUACGCCUGACAGUGGUAGAUACCCCUGGCUAUGGUGACGCUAUCAACUGCAGAGAUUGUUUUAAGACAAUUAUCUCCUAUAUUGAUGAGCAAUUUGAGAGGUACCUGCAUGACGAGAGCGGCUU